Molecule: ribosomal RNA, 1663 nt
Filed under: Ilyocypris sp. QY-2003
Lineage: Eukaryota; Metazoa; Arthropoda; Ostracoda; Podocopida; Ilyocyprididae
Description: SSU rRNA
Rfam family: Eukaryotic small subunit ribosomal RNA
Source: RNAcentral
CAUGCAGGUCUAAGUAUAAGCCGAAAUAAAGUGAAACCGCGAAUGGCUCAUUACAUCAGUUAUGGUUCCUUAGAUCUCCGGUAUCCUACUUGGAUAACCCUGGAAAUUCUAGAGCUAAUACAUGCAAAUGUAGCCUCAACCCUCGUGGGAGAGGCGUUUUUGUUAGACUAAAACCAAUCGGGGAGCAAUCCCUGUUCAUUUGGUGAGUCUGAACAACUUUGAGCGGAUCGCACGGUCUUGUACCGGCGACAACUCUUUCAAAUGUCUGCCUUAUCAACUUGAUGGUAGGUUAUGUGCCUACCAUGGUGAUAACGGGUAACGGAGAAUCAGGGUUCGAUACCGGAGAGGGAGCCUGAGAAACGGCUACCACAUCCAAGGAAGGCAGCAGGCACGCAAAUUACCCACUCCCGGCACGGGGAGGUAGUGACGAAAAAUAACAAUACGGGACUCAUCCGAGGCCCCGUAAUUGGAAUGAGUACACUUUAAAUCCUUUAACGAGGAUCCAUUGGAGGGCAAGUCUGGUGCCAGCAGCCGCGGUAAUUCCAGCUGCAAUACAGUUGCGGACAGGUGGUUCACCUCACGGUGCUACUGCCUGGUCCGAACCUAUGGCUGGUUCCUCUGGGGUGCCCUUCACUGGGUGCUCCAGGAGACCAGAGCGUUUACUUUGAAAAAAUUGGAGUGCUUAAAGCAGGCGAACGCCUGUACAUUCGUGCAUGGAAUAAUGGAAAAGGGCCUCGGUGCUACUUUGUUGGUUCUCGGUACUCGAGGUAAUGGUUGAAAGGGACAGACGGGGGCAUUCGUAUUGCGACGUUAGAGGUGAAAUUCUUAGAUCGUCGCAAGACGGACUACUGCGAAAGCAUUUGCCAAGAAUGUUUUCAUUAAUCAAGAACGAAAGUCAGAGGUUCGAAGGCGAUCAGAUACCGCCCUAGUUCUGACCUUAAACGAUGCCAACUGGCGAUCCGUCGGGGGUAUUUCAAUGACCUGACGGGCAGCUUCCGGGAAACCAAAGUUUUUGGGUUCCGGGGGAAGUAUGGUUGCAAAGCUGGAACUUAAAGGAAUUGACGGAAGGGCACCACCAGGAGUGGAGCCUGUGGCUUAAUUUGACUCGCCCAGACACUAGUAGGAUUGACAGAUUGAGAGCUCUUUCUUGAUUUGGUGGAUGGUGGUGCAUGGCCGUUCUUAGUUGGUGGAGUGAUUUGUCUGGUUAAUUCCGAUAACGAACGAGACUCUGGCCUACUAAAUAGACGGCGGAUCUUUGUGUCCGUUCUGUCUUCUUAGAGGGAUAAGGCAGCUCGAAGCUGCGUGAAAAGGGGCAAUAACAGGUCUGUGAUGCCCUUAGAUGUUCUGGGCCGCACACGCGCUACACUGAAAGGGUCAGCGUGUUCUCCUGGCUCGAAAGAGCUGGGUAACCCGCGAAUCCCUUUCGUGCUGGGGAUUGAGGUUUGCAAUUGUCCUUCAUGAACGAGGAAUUCCCAGUAAGUGCAAGUCAUAAGCUUGCGCUGACUACGUCCCUGCCCUUUGUACACACCGCCCGUCGCUACUACCGAUUGAAUGAUUUAGUGAGGUCUUCGGACUGGGACCGGUGCAGCUUUCGGGCUGCGUUGGUAUUCCGGAAAGAUGCCCAAACUGAAUCAUUUAGAGGAAGUAAAAGUCGUAGCAAGGU